ACUGUUUAGGUCACGUGGAUAACCUGCCCUAUGGUGGAGAAUAAUCCCGGGAAACUGGGGAUAAUGCUCCAUAGAUUAGAGAUACUGGAAUGUUCUUUAAUCGAGAGUUGAGGCGCCAUAGGAUGGAUCUGCGGUCGAUUAGGUUGUUGUUGGGGUAACGGCCCAACAAGCCUGUAAUCGAUACGGGUUGUGGGAGCAAGAGCCCGGAGAUGGAAUCUGAGACACGAUUCCAGGCCCUACGGGGCGCAGCAGGCGCGAAAACUUUACAAUGCAGGAAACUGUGAUAAGGGAACCCCGAGUGCCCGUAUACGCGGGCUGUCCAGGUGUCUAAAAAGCAUCUGAAGAAAGGGCCGGGCAAGACCGGUGCCAGCCGCCGCGGUAAUACCGGCGGCUCGAGUGGUGGCCACUAUUAUUGGGCUUAAAGCGUCCGUAGCUGGACUCUUAAGUCUCUUGGGAAAUCCGCCGGCUUAACCGACGGGCGUCUAAGAGAUACUGAGAGUCUAGGGACCGGGAGAGGUGAGAGGUACUCCGGGGGUAGGAGUGAAAUCCUGUAAUCCCUGGGGGACCACCGAUGGCGAAGGCAUCUCACCAGAACGGCUCCGACAGUGAGGGACGAAAGCUGGGGGAGCGAACCGGAUUAGAUACCCGGGUAGUCCCAGCCGUAAACUAUGCGCGUUAGGUGUACUGGUGACCACGAGUCACUGGGGUGCCGAAGGGAAACCGUGAAACGUGCCGCCUGGGAAGUACGGUCGCAAGGCUGAAACUUAAAGGAAUUGGCGGGGGAGCAC
RNAcentral lists this ribosomal RNA (788 nucleotides) under uncultured archaeon. Its description in RNAcentral is "bacterial SSU rRNA". It matches the Rfam family "Archaeal small subunit ribosomal RNA", at positions 83 to 879 of the family's 1478-position model. The record is from RNAcentral.